UACGAAGGGGGCUAGCGUUGCUCGGAAUCACUGGGCGUAAAGGGUGCGUAGGCGGGCAGUUAAGUCAGUGGUGAAAUCCUUGAGCUCAACUCGAGAACUGCCAUUGAUACUAUCUGUCUUGAAUAUUGUGGAGGUAAGCGGAAUAUGUCAUGUAGCGGUGAAAUGCUUAGAUAUGACAUAGAACACCGAUUGCGAAGGCAGCUUACUACGCAUAUAUUGACGCUGAGGCGCGAAAGCUAGGGGAGCAAACGGG
This 253-nucleotide ribosomal RNA is filed under the name uncultured bacterium. RNAcentral describes it as "partial 16S ribosomal RNA". It matches the Rfam family "Bacterial small subunit ribosomal RNA", at positions 524 to 776 of the family's 1533-position model. The record is from RNAcentral.